RNAcentral lists this ribosomal RNA (437 nucleotides) under uncultured bacterium. Its description in RNAcentral is "bacterial SSU rRNA". It matches the Rfam family "Bacterial small subunit ribosomal RNA", at positions 954 to 1391 of the family's 1533-position model. The record is from RNAcentral.
GCAUAACGCGAAGAACCUUACCUGGCCUUGACAUCCAUGGAAUCCCGAAGAGAUUUGGGAGUGCCGCAAGGAACCAUGAGACAGGUGCUGCAUGGCUGUCGUCAGCUCGUGUCGUGAGAUGUUGGGUUAAGUCCCGCAACGAGCGCAACCCUUGUCCUUAGUUGCCAUCAUUAAGUUGGGAACUCUAAGGAGACCGCCGGUGACAAACCGGAGGAAGGUGGGGAUGACGUCAAGUCAUCAUGGCCUUUAUGGCCAGGGCUACACACGUGCUACAAUGGCAGGUACAGAGGGAAGCCAACCAGCAAUGGGGAGCCAAUCCCAGAAAGCCUGUCUUAGUCCGGAUUGCAGUCUGCAACUCGACUGCAUGAAGUUGGAAUCGCUAGUAAUCGCAGAUCAGCAUUGCUGCGGUGAAUACGUUCCCGGGUCUUGUACACACC